Molecule: ribosomal RNA, 476 nt
Filed under: uncultured bacterium
Lineage: Bacteria
Description: bacterial SSU rRNA
Rfam family: Bacterial small subunit ribosomal RNA
Source: RNAcentral
GAUGAACGCUGGCGGCGUGCCUAACACAUGCAAGUCGAGCGAUUCUCUUCGGAGAAGAGCGGCGGACGGGUGAGUAACGCGUGGGUAACCUGCCCUGUACACACGGAUAACAUACCGAAAGGUAUGCUAAUACGGGAUAACAUAAGAAAUUCGCAUGUUUUUCUUAUCAAAGCUCCGGCGGUACAGGAUGGACCCGCGUCUGAUUAGCUAGUUGGUGAGGUAACGGCUCACCAAGGCGACGAUCAGUAGCCGACCUGAGAGGGUGAUCGGCCACAUUGGAACUGAGACACGGUCCAAACUCCUACGGGAGGCAGCAGUGGGGAAUAUUGCACAAUGGGCGAAAGCCUGAUGCAGCAACGCCGCGUGAGCGAUGAAGGCCUUCGGUCGUAAAGCUCUGUCCUCAAGAAGAUAAUGACGGUACUUGAGGAGGAAGCCCCGGCUAACUACGUGCCAGCAGCCGCGGUAAAGUCACGUCG